Molecule: ribosomal RNA, 465 nt
Filed under: uncultured bacterium
Lineage: Bacteria
Description: partial 16S ribosomal RNA
Rfam family: Bacterial small subunit ribosomal RNA
Source: RNAcentral
CCUACGGGUGGCAGCAGUGGGGAAUAUUGCGCAAUGGGCGAAAGCCUGACGCAGCGACGCCGCGUGAGGGAUGAAGGUCUUCGGAUCGUAAACCUCUGUCAGCAGGGAAGAACGGUCACUGUGCUAAUCAGCAGUGAAUUGACGGUACCUGCAAAGGAAGCACCGGCUAACUCCGUGCCAGCAGCCGCGGUAAUACGGAGGGUGCGAGCGUUAAUCGGUAUUACUGGGCGUAAAGCGCUCGUAGGCGGUAUGUCAAGUCAAGGGUGAAAUCCCCGCGCUCAACGUGGGAACUGCCUUUGAAACUGGCAGACUGGAGUGUGUGAGAGGUAAGUGGAAUUCCAGGUGUAGGAGUGAAAUCCGUAGAUAUCUGGAGGAACAUCAGUGGCGAAGGCGACUAUCUGGCACAUAACUGACGCUGAGGAGCGAAAGCGUGGGUAGCAAACAGGAUUAGAUACCCUAGUAGUC